AUCCAGUUGUCAAGUCCUGAAUAGGACGAAACGUGCGUCCUGGAU
RNAcentral lists this non-coding RNA (45 nucleotides) under Schistosoma mansoni. Lineage: Eukaryota; Metazoa; Platyhelminthes; Trematoda; Strigeidida; Schistosomatidae. The record is from RNAcentral.